This 440-nucleotide ribosomal RNA is filed under the name uncultured bacterium. RNAcentral describes it as "partial 16S ribosomal RNA". It matches the Rfam family "Bacterial small subunit ribosomal RNA", at positions 338 to 795 of the family's 1533-position model. The record is from RNAcentral.
CCUACGGGAGGCUGCAGUGGGGGAUAUUGCACAAUGGGGGGAACCCUGAUGCAGCGACGCCGCGUGGGUGAAGAAGCGCCUCGGCGCGUAAAGCCCUGUCAGCAGGGAAGAAAAUGACGGUACCUGAAGAAGAAGCCCCGGCUAACUACGUGCCAGCAGCCGCGGGAAUACGUAGGGGGCAAGCGUUAUCCGGAUUUACUGGGUGUAAAGGGGGCGCAGACGGCGAUGCAAGCCAGGAGUGAAAGCCCGGGGCCCAACCCCGGGACUGCUCUUGGAACUGCGUGGCUGGAGUGCAGGAGGGGCAGGCGGAAUUCCUGGUGUAGCGGUGAAAUGCGUAGAUAUCAGGAGGAACACCGGUGGCGAAGGCGGCCUGCUGGACUGCAACUGACGUUGAGGCCCGAAAGCGUGGGGAGCAAACAGGAUGAGAUACCCCUGUAGUC